GGACGACACCUGUCAAAUACAAUAAAUCGUCACUCAGCGCACAACUCAUUUACGAUCCUUUUUUCAAGGUUGCUCCAACGUCUAUGCACGAAGAAUAAAUUCCAUCAGAGAAUUUAAUCUGCUUGCAGCACGCUCCUUCCAAGGCUGCGUGGACCACACGAUCUUGGCCUCCCGGAAAUGAUCGUUUUGUCGUCCCAACGUGGUAGCCAGUUUUUCAAAAUUUGACUUUUGUGGGCGGAUUAAUAGAACUGUCAAAAAAUGGUGCAGGCAUCGGUCGGAUUGCCGGUUUUUCGAGGCUACAUUCUCUGGGACCAUGCUGAGGAAUUUGGUUUGGAAACGUCAGAAAAUAUUGGUCUAGGAACGUUUUCACAUACUCGAGAAGUUAUGGGACUAUAAUUAUGCGCCCCCCGCAUGACCUCGAGGCUCUCUGAACCUGGGGUUGCUAACGACGUCGAUGGAACCUACGAUCAAAUCUUUGGCACUGUGACCCCCAUUCGUUCUUCAGACACCAAAUAUCCAAAGGACAGUCGCAAGAGCAGCGUCCAGUCGGAAAUAAAUCCUCGAUAAUUUUCAUCGUAAAUGAGCUUUUUUAAUCACACCAGGGCCAUAAAAACAUAACUGUGAUGGGGAAGCGGCACCACCCAUUCAGCUGGGUAAACACUCUCGUUCAUGAGACCCUAUCGUAGAUCAUGUGGAUCGUAAAAUUCAACUCCCUGUGGCUAAAGUGUCUGUUGAAAGUGUGUUCUCUUGGUUAGAGAAGUAUUCACACAUUUUAAUUAUAUUUCUCAUUCGGUUCGUGUCCAAUAUUGUGAAUUUUUCAAUACCCCCAACUGGUUUUUAACGCUUUACCUUGAAAUUUACGACGAAAAUAUUCAUCCCUGGUCCAUUAAUUAAGGCCAGAAAAAUAUCGAAUUGAGAGGAAUCUAAGUGGAAUUUCAUUCACGGAAAAAUGGUGAAUGAAAAGUUGUACGAGUUGGGAAUUAUUCGGUUGAUUUCCAAACGCAAUAACUGUCAUUGGCGAGGCAUAAAAAUUAUUCGAAUUUUCACUCUUUUGA
Venturia canescens is the source of this 1055-nucleotide long non-coding RNA. RefSeq lists it as uncharacterized. Lineage: Eukaryota; Metazoa; Arthropoda; Insecta; Hymenoptera; Ichneumonidae. The transcript is spliced from 3 exons. The record is from RefSeq and is a predicted model, not a curated record.